ACCUAAACUUAAACAAAACAGAAAUUUUAGUUUAAUAAAAAUAGAACAAAAACAGAUCUGCAGAGAUCUAAACUAAGAACACAAACAUAACAUAAUUUUAAGAAUAGAAAUUGAGAAACUAAGAACUAAAAUCUCUAUACCUGUUUGCGUUUCAGUCAGAUGGAGAGGAAACGAGAGAGAGCUUCAAUUCGUGAUGAAAGAGAGCUUCAAUUCAUGUAAUUUGCAUUUUGGUGAGUUUAGGGUUCGUGAGGCUUGAUUCAGUACUGAAAGGGAACGUGAGGGUUUGAGUGAGAGUGAUGAGCGUGAGAGUGAGAGGAAUAUGAGCGAGUUCGAGUUCAAGAGUGAUGGAGGCUAGGGUUCGUGAUAUUGAGUGAGAGGCUACGUAUGAGUGAGAGUGAGAAAGUGAAGACAGCUAUUCAAUCCCUUGAAAAAUUAUUUUAGACAAUUUUCACCAUAAUUACAAGAUUGCCCCCGCG
RNAcentral lists this long non-coding RNA (476 nucleotides) under Trifolium pratense (red clover). RNAcentral's name for it is "long non-coding RNA (TPRA_LNC007990)". Lineage: Eukaryota; Viridiplantae; Streptophyta; Magnoliopsida; Fabales; Fabaceae. The record is from RNAcentral.